GACGAACGCUGGCGGCGUGCCUAAUACAUGCGAGUUGAGCGAUGAAGCUUGGUGCUUGCCCCAAUUUGAAGAGCAGCGAACGGGUGAGUAACGCGUGGGGAAUCUGCCUUUGAGCGGGGGACAACAUUUGGAAACGAAUGCUAAUACCGCAUAACAACUUUAAACAUAAGUUUUAAGUUUGAAAGAUGCAAUUGCAUCACUCAAAGAUGAUCCCGCGUUGUAUUAGCUAGUUGGUGAGGUAAAGGCUCACCAAGGCGAUGAUACAUAGCCGACCUGAGAGGGUGAUCGGCCACAUUGGGACUGAGACACGGCCCAAACUCCUACGGGAGGCAGCAGGAGGGAAUCUUCGGCAAGGGACGAAAGUCUGACCGAGCAACGCCGCGUGAGUGAAGAAGGGUGUCGGAUCGUAAAACUCUGUUGGUAGAGAAGAACGUUGGUGAGAGUGGAAAGCUCAUCAAGUGACGGUAACUACCCAGAAAGGGACGGCUAACUACGUG
This 497-nucleotide ribosomal RNA is filed under the name uncultured bacterium. Its description in RNAcentral is "partial 16S ribosomal RNA". It matches the Rfam family "Bacterial small subunit ribosomal RNA", at positions 28 to 507 of the family's 1533-position model. The record is from RNAcentral.